GAGCUUGUGGCUUAUCAUUGUAGCUUUUACGUCACACGACAAGCUUUCUGCAACUGUAUUUUUUCGUCUGCUCCUGAUUCACAACGGUUUGAAUAUAGCAAUAUUUAGAAAUGCAAUUUUAAGCUUAAAAUACCAGAAGAAUAUGUCUAAAACAUGAUUUCAUUGGCGUGGGUCUUUAAAAGCUGCAGGUAAAAGAUUAACUUGUUCACACCCUAACGACUAUAAAGAGGCAAAAGAGUUUUAUUCAACAGGGAAUUGGGAAAUAGAGACUUUUAUGGACCAUAUGUUAUUAUUUAUUGUCAAAAAAAACUCAACAGUACUCCAGCACUUCACGACUCUCUUCAGCCUUUAUCCUCUAAAAAUCUCACAACAGAGAAUGCAAUCAGCUGCCAACAACAAUCGUGCAUCUAUUCCACUUGUCGCUUAAUUUCUGACAGAUCUUAUCCAUGUUUUCUCAAAGGUGUUCCAUGAGGGAUACAACGGAAAAUGCUAUAUUUAACUGUUUGACAUCCGACACCGACAACUGCAAAGGGUGAGGUCCCUUGACCGCAUGGAAGGGAGGCGCCCUGGAGAAAGUCCAGCUGGUGGUCGACGGCCCAUCAGGAGCCCCACAUUGCUGCUGCUGCUGGUGCUCGCAGGAGUGGGAACACGUUGACCGCUGGACUCCCCAGAGUCCGCCAUCUUGAACUUGAACAAACUACAAACCUGGUGGCCGCUAACAACAAUAAUGACUUAAAUUACUUUGUUAUCUCUGUAAGAGAAAAGGAAAGGAAAACUGUACGCUCAAAAAUACAUCCUCAUCUCAUGUGUA
This is a long non-coding RNA of Oryzias melastigma (Indian medaka), 811 nucleotides long. RefSeq lists it as uncharacterized. The record is from RefSeq and is a predicted model, not a curated record. Lineage: Eukaryota; Metazoa; Chordata; Actinopteri; Beloniformes; Adrianichthyidae. The transcript is spliced from 2 exons.